GUGAGGAUAGCUCAGUUGGGAGAGCGUCAAAUUGAUGAUCUAAUGGUCACGUGUUUGAUCCAAGUUCAUCACA
Gossypium hirsutum (cotton) is the source of this 73-nucleotide non-coding RNA. NCBI's taxonomy places the organism in Eukaryota, Viridiplantae, Streptophyta, Magnoliopsida, Malvales, Malvaceae. The record is from Rfam.